This 537-nucleotide ribosomal RNA is filed under the name Triticum aestivum (bread wheat). Its description in RNAcentral is "partial small subunit ribosomal RNA". Lineage: Eukaryota; Viridiplantae; Streptophyta; Magnoliopsida; Poales; Poaceae. The record is from RNAcentral.
AUGCGCCACCUAGCGCAUAAUUUCAAAAAGAAGUUCAAAGGUAAAGUUUAUGAUGAGAACUUAUGGCCAGCAUCAUACACUUGCAGCAAAAGGAAGCAUGAACACCAUUUGAGAGUGUUGUAUUCUCAAAAUCCUCUUGUGAAGGAGUACAUGGAUGCACAUCAUGGCAAGGUGUGGUCAAGAAGCAAAUUCAACGAAAUCUGCAAAGUAGAUUAUGUGACCAGUAACCUUGCAGAAUGCUUCAAUUCAAAGUUCAAGUCAGUGAAAGGGCUCUUGUUGUGGCAAGCAUUUGACAAGAUGAGGCAGAUGAUCAUGAUAAAGAUGGCUCUUCGCAAAAGAAUUGCAGAAACACAAUAUGUUGGUCAUCAAAUGCUCCCAUCACUGACUAAGGCAUUGCACUUGAAGGCAAGAGGACUGAAGAUGAAAUGUAUUCGAUCUGGUACAUAUGAGGGAGAGGUUACCUAUACUGACACUAAAAAUAGGGUAUGGAGGUAUCUUGUGAACCUAAGUACUAGAGAAUGUACUUGUAGGCAAUGA